Molecule: non-coding RNA, 8818 nt
Filed under: Cordylochernes scorpioides
Lineage: Eukaryota; Metazoa; Arthropoda; Arachnida; Pseudoscorpiones; Chernetidae
Source: RNAcentral
UAUACUCAAUAGAAUGCAACCAAUGCAAUAGUAUGUACAUAGGCGAAACCGGCAGACAAGUAAUAGAUAGAAUGAAUAAGCACAUCAGAUCCAUAAAUAGAAAGGAUAGAAAAAUUCCCUUUUAUUCCAACACAUUCAAAAUACAGGUCACACCUUCAACCUAAGUAACCCAAAAACCUUUUAUACCAAUAUAAACAACGGGCAGAAAAGACUAUGCUUAGAAGCCUUUUAUCAUUAAAACACGCCAGCAUCAAUAGGCACAUUGAAAUUCCAGAAUCAUACACAGAACUCAUAACUAGCAAUUAAACGUACACUUCCCCAUAUUUAAUACAGUAACUCUUGUUUCAUAACCCUGUUCCAUAGCUAAUUCAAAUUUCAUAAGUUAAAUUAUUAUAUAAUAGUUUUUACCUUAAUUUAGAAAUACGUAAAUAGUCUGGAUACUUAGCAUAUAUCAAGAAGUUAAUAGUUCUUUUAUGAAAAAAUUUGUAAAGAUGUAAAUAUAUUAGGUAAAUAUAUAGCAGCUUCUAACGAUUCACCACCAUCGCGUUGUUCCUGUAGAAGGACCACCAUACCCGAAAGCUAGAGCCUUAUUAAGCGGUUUAAAAAAAAAAACGCAACCUCGGAGUUUUAUUAUUUGUCAUAAAGAUUUCGCAGAGGUUAAGAUAUUGGAAUUAGGUUACUAUCUGGAUAUAUAUGGGAGGGACCCUACUUGUAAAGAUUAUACCAAAAUCUAACAAGUAAGCUAUGAAGACAAGCAAACUAUAGACUUAAUAUUAUUGACGAUGACAUUUGUAAUAUUUUUUUUUUAAACAAAAGGGUUUACAAUAAAAUCAUAAAGAGAACAAUCUAGGAGUAUAGGCGACAUGGGUCUUAUUAGAUUUAAAUCAAGAGAUGGUAUAAUGGUAAAUAUGAUGGAAUAACUCACUGAAACACAGACAAGAGAACAGGCUCCUAUGGCAGGCACGUUCGGCAGUGUAUGUUGGCCAGUAAUUAUUAGAAGACUUGAUUAUUAGUAACAUUCCCUCCAAAUAAAUAAGAAUCAUACUAUAUUUCGCUUUAAACAGUGAAAGAAAGGACAAAUUCUUCACAUUAGGAUACAAAUAUUACUAAAACCUGACAUAGAGAUACCCUCAAGGCAGCCCUAAUAAAGUCGUAUUUUGCAACUGUUGAUGUGUCAACAUAUCACAGCAAAGACAUAGUACACUACUCUAUUCCAUCAGAGUCGGUAGUCUAUAUUCAGUACAAUUUGUGAUAAUAGGGUGUGGGGGUAGUACCAUAAAACAAGAGAAUGAAAAAUGUAUGAGGGGAAACAAAACUCUCCAUAUAAGUUGUAUACUAGAUAUUUAUUCGGAUUAGGCGAGAUUUUUGGGGACAUUUUAUACUGGCGAGACAUGCUCUUUACAUAAUGAUCUAGGUAGAGGUGACUUAAGGUUACAAAUUCUUCUUUAUAUAGGGGAAAACAUAGAUCUCCAUCUAUUCUAGCGGGACAAGAUAUAUGAACCCUUAAAGCCCUUUAGGGCCCAUUCAAAAUCUAAAUAGUUUAGUUUCUAUUUGAAAAAUAAAAGGGCCCCCAUAAUGGCGGGGGCUUACCUUCUCUCGAAAGCGGCGGCAAGGUCUGGUCUCAUCUACGUCUCACGACUGGCGGAAUCUCUCCUGUCACUGAGCGACUCUGUGUAUCUCUCCUUUUUAGCCAAGAAAAACCUCCUUUUAUCCUUGCCUCUCUUCAUUUUCAUUCGCUGAUCAUGCCAAAGUUUUUAUUGGCUGGCAUUUUCAUUCGUCGAGAGCAAACACGCACGUGAUCAUGACCACGCCCCCAAUUUACCGUGCUGCCGCGCGGGAAAAAUUGUAUAUAUAUAUUGAAAAACAAAUUAAUUUCUUUAGUAAAUUAAAUGAUAUAUAUAUCCCGAGUAUAUAAAAGAAAAGGUUAUUGAUUUAAUGUUUAUAUGACAAAUUGUUUUCCUUUGGUCACCUCUAACUAAAUGAAGGGAAUAUAUGUACAUAUGGUACAGCAGCUCCCAGCACGGAUGUCUCUGGAUGUCACCCAUGUCUUCCUCCCCACCAGGCAUCAGCUUUCGGCAUGGAAGUCUGGUGUCCUCAAGUGUCUAGUUUUGUUUGUACAUGUGCUCUUUGUACAUCCUUCGUUUCGGCCCUUCCGCAGCGGGUUUUGGGUCUUUAGAGCAUCGUCGGCCAUCGUUGGGAGUUCUCCACCUAGGCAACAAACACUUCGGCGAGACACUGUGUAUAUAUUUAUAUGAUCUAAGUGUUUACAUCUUUGUUGGGUCUUGUUUGGUGGAAAAUCUGACCCAACACUAUCAGGGAUUGGCUAUCUGUAUAUACUUGAAUUGACUUUUGAGUUUUGAAUCCAUGAUCAUCCAGAAGAUUAUCAUACCAUUUAACAUCACAAACUCUUUCACAAAAAGCUAAUAACUCAGCCUCCAUUGUGUACAUUGCAACCAUUAUUUGUUUGUUGCAUUUACAAUUAACUAUAUUGUUGCCAAUUUUAAUAAAGUGUCCACCAAAUGAUUUGGCAUCUUUCGCAGUGCACCAGCUGGCAUCUGAUAUGGCAGUUUAUUGUUCUGAUCCUUCACUGAAUUUUCGUUUUAUAUUUCUUGUUGUUAAGUACCUCAAAGUGGGUUAACGAAAAGAAAAAUCUUAAUACAACAAUAUUGUUGGGUCCAUUUCUAUCGUGGUGAAGUAUACAAUCAUUACUUCUACGGUUUGAAUAACAUACACCUCAUUCUGAUGCGCUUUAAGAGGAUUUAUGAUCAUAUUAAGUUAUCGAUAAAAUAGCAAAACACAUUCAAUGACAAGUAUAUUAUAACACAACGUUAAUUCAGUUUCCAGUAUGACGAGAUAUACACCACUACACAUACAAAUUCGAACGCUAUAUAUAUAUAUACAUACACAAUAAAAUAAAGGGAAUGAAAUUGACUUAAAUGUUAACAUGUGUUAUAUAUAUAUGGGCAUAUGUAAUUGUUUAUUGGUAGAACUGACCAUGGAAGUACCAUUGUAUGUCUAGUCUGGUAUAAAGCACAAUAAAUUCAAAUUGAUAAAAAGAAAUAUAUGUGAGAAAUUUUAUUAUAUCUUUAGCGGCUCCCAAAUAUUAACUUUUCAUAUUUUCAUUAUGAGUUUUAAUUUGUUGAAUAACCAUUCAAUUCAAAUAUUAAAAGGAUAUGUAAAAUAACAUUAACUUGUGAUGAUGAUAUAUUCAAUCACUGAAUAACCUAACACAUCUUAUAAAUAUAUAAUGCUUAUAAAAUAUACUUUAUUAAAAUUAUAUAUGAAAAUUAACAUUAAUAUCAUAUUAAUUGUUGUCAUAUCAAUAUAAUAAAAUAAUUAUACAUCAUUCUAAAUAUAAAUCUUAAAUCAUAUAAAAUGUAAGUAUUUAUCUAUAAUAUAUCAAACAAAUAUGUCUAACAUUAUAUAAUAUAGAAAUGAUAUUUGACCACAGACAUAGAUACAAAAAAGAACUUUAACAUGUAGUAUACAACAAUGCAACCCCUUCUGAUAAUUUGUAUUAAAUAAAUGUAAUUAAAAGUUUAUUUUACAAUAAAUAAUUUGUUAUCUGACUCCGCCUAGAAUUCCAUGCCGCCCACAAAAUGGUGAGCCCUAUUAUAUAAACUAACAUUUGCAAGCAAUCAAACAAUAAUUUCAAUUCGAUCAAAAGUGAAAAAUAAAAUUAUUCAUAAUAUCAAAUUAUAAAUAUUUAAGAAAUACAUAUUAAAUAUUUAUAUUUAAAACAAAAAUUAUAACAUAUUUUGCAAUAUUUAAAAACUACGAAAACUGUUGUUUAUGUUGUUCUUUGUGCCUAUUUGAUCACGCAGAAUGCAACUGACCUAAGUAUUUAUUUAUUAACUUAUCUUUUUAUAACAUGGUUAUAUAUCUAAGAAUUUUUACCAGUCGAGUCUGCCGUGUUGCUGGAUCAAUCAUAACAUGUUUCCUUUAAACAAAAAUAAAAAAGGAUUGCAGUUCUCCUAGUCUCUAUAACGCAAAGGUUUUCUCACUGUUCUACCACUGCGGGUUCGCACACUAGGAGAAGUAGAUGAUUCUUCACCUUUCUUGGCAACGUCGUUCCUUGGAUCAUAUGCUCUUCUGUUUUCGGAAGUGGGUCUUCCAUGAUCUUGUAUGUUGCCAUCCAUGGCUGUCCCUGCUUGAGAUCCAGGAAUGCUUGGACUUUGAAUUGUUGGGGCAGAAUCUUCUACACUGAACUUUCUCGGUCUAAGGUGAGACCUGUUCCUGCGGUAUUCAGAAUACUUGGUGUUUUCACCAUAUAUGAGCGUGGAGUUUCAUGCUUUGCGGUCACUGUUGCCGGAACCCAUUUUCUAUGCCUUUCCUGCAACAUGAUGUUGUUUCUCUUUGGACUUCCUGCAUACUUUUGUUGAUGGUCUCUCAAUUUUUGGUAAUUCUUUGUUGUGUCAAACAGUGGUUUCAACUGUUGUCGGGUGUAUGUCAAAAGAGUUCUCACAGAUCUUCCCAUAAGCAUUUGGGUCGGAGAUGGCAAGUCAUACUUAGGUGUGUUGUUGAACUCCAUCAAAGCCAGAUUGGGAUCUCUUCCUGACUUCACAGCUUUAAUUAUCAGUCCUUUGAUGGUUUGAAUUGUCCUCUCAACUUGUCCAUUAGAUCUUGGAUAUUUGGGACUGGAGUUUUGGUGUUUGAAUUCAUAUUUCUGAGCAAAAUUUUUGAAUCCAGUAGAGUUAAAAGGGGGUCCAUUAUCCGAAACUAGAGUCCUUGGAAUUCCAUGAGUCCUGAAAAUGGUUUUCAACUGCAUGAUGGUUUCGGUUUCUCUUUUGCUUGAUAAUUUCCGGAUUUCAACAAACUUUGAGUGGUAAUCGACAACCAAGAUGGAACUGGUUCCACUCACCUCCAUGAAAUCUACAGCAAUUUUUUCCCAUGGAAAUUCAGGGAUUUCAUGAGCUAUUCUCGACUCCUCAGGAUUCUUUCUUGAAUAUUCCUGACAUGUUCUGCACUUUCCACUUCAUUUUCUACUUGUGUUAUCAUGCCUGGCCAGUAAAAUGCAGAUCUUGCUUUUUCUUUGGAAGCUGCUAUGCCCUGGUGUGAUGAAUGAACAACCUGCAGGAUUUCUUUUCGAAGAGUCGAUGGCACCAUGAUGCAAUUUCCUUUGUAAACAAUUCCGUCACUCACAUGAAUUUCAUCUUGAAAUUGCCAGUAGGGUUUUGCUUCAUCACAGACCUUAGUUUUAUAUUUCGGCCAUCCAUUCUUCGCAUACUCUAUUAGAUGUAUCAAGGUGUGGUCCCCAUGAGUUUCCUUUUGCAGUCUCUUUAUUUUUUCAUCUGUGGUAACCAGCAACAUGUGCACUGAUUCAGUUUGACCUUCUAAAUAGCUUGUGUCCACCUCAUCUUUUAAUGGAUCUCUAGACAGAUGGUCAGCUACAAACAUGUUUUUCCCUGGUGUAAACUUCAAAGAUAUUUGAAAUCUCAUCAGACGUAAGACCAUUCUUUGUAGUCUUGGGGAAAGCUUUUCUAAAGGUUUCUUAACAAUACUCAGGAGAGGUUUGUGGUCAGUUUCCACAAUAACAUCAUUUCCCCAAACAUAGUACUGGAAGCGUUCACAUCCAAAGACUAUAGCCAAAAGUUCUUUCUCUAUCUGUGCGUAUUUUCUUUGAGUUGCAUUCAGGCUGAAGGACGCAUACUCAAUUGCAUGUCCCCUUUGCAUGAGCACUGUACCAAUACCAUAUUGGCUUGCAUCAGAUGAAAUGGUGAUUGGCUUGGUUGGGUCAAAAAAUGUCAAUAUUGGAGCAUUCGAAACCAUAUCCUUGAGUUUUUCAAAACAAUCAUUUUCUUCGCCUCCAAAUUUCCAUUCACUCUUGUUGCUUAUCAAUUUCCUUAGAGGUGCAGUCUUGUCAGAAAGAUUAGGAAUGAAUUUGCCAAGGUACGUCACCAUACCUAAGAAUCUUUGGGCUUCAGUCUUGUUCUCAGGUCUUUUCAACUUUUGUAUUGCCUCUGCUCUUGAAGCUUGAAUGGCUAUUCUAUCUCGACUGAUUAUAUGGCCUAAGAAAUUUACUUUGUCGACAGCUAUCUGCUGCUUCUUGGCAUUGAGCUUGAUAUUAUUUUCUUCCAACCUUCGAAGAACUGUUUCAAGGUUUCGGUUGUGCUCUUCCAUUGUGCUUCCAUAGAUCAAGAUGUCAUCCAUAUAGCAAGCAGUUCCCUGGAGACCUGAAAGAAUAUUGUUUAUGCAUCGCUGGAAUACCUCCGAUGCACUGUUCAAUCCAUAGGGAAGUCGCUUGAACCGGAAUCUUCCAAAGGGAGUUGCAAUGGUGCACAGGUUGGUGCUUUCUUUGUCUAAUGGGACUUGCCAGAAAGCUGAUGAUGCAUCAAAUACAGAGAAAACUGUAGUACCUUUCAGUUCAGAAAAUAUUGUUUCAGCUGUUGGCAGAAUAUAGCGCUCUCUCUGAACAUAUUUGUUCAGUUUCCUGGGGUCCAUGCAAAUUCUGACAUCCCCAGAAGAUUUUUGUACCACUACAAUAGGGUGUGUCCAUUCGCUUGGUUCUUCAACUUUUUCAAUAAUGUCAAGUUUUUCCAUCCGUUCCAAUUCUGCUUUAACUUUUUCUCUAAUGGAAAAAGGAUUUUUUUCAGCUUGGAGCAAUAACUGGAGUUGUAUUUUCAUUUAGUGUAAUCUUGUGUUCAAUUGGCAGUCUUCCUAUGCCUUCAAAUAUAUUUUUGUGCCUGUUCAAAAUUUCUUUUGCUGAAUUGUUCUGCUGUAUUUGGACAGCAUCACAUUUCUUAAUUAGUGAAAGCUUUUCAAUAGCUUCUAUUCCUAAAAUUGGUUGAUAGUAUCCAUCAGCAAUGAAAAAUUCUAGACUUUCCGUCUUAUUUUUAGUUUUGCAAUUUAGUGUGGCAAAUCCUUUUAUCUUGAUUUCAUGUCCUGUAUAUGAUGUUAGCUUUCGGUUAGUCUGAAAUAUUUCCAAACCUUUCAUUUGUCUGGUGAAUGUGUAUGGCAAAACAUUUACUUCUGCUCCAGAGUCCAACUUGAAACAUAUUUCCUUUCCAUUCACUAUGAUGGAUUUUUUCCAUUCCAAAGUAUGGACUACUUUUGCUUCAUGUAUUGACCAUACAGUUUCUUCUGUUUCAUCAUUCAGACUUCUGAUAGCUGAACUUUUACAGAAAGCUGCAAAAUGAUUCAUCUUUUUGCAUUUGGAGCAUCUUUCACCCCAUGCAGGACAAUUUUUUGCUCUGUGAGACUUCCCACACCUUUGGCAUUUGAAUUCUUUUUCAGAUUCUUGAUUUUGUUUUGGACUGUGUUUCUUUUCAUAUUUUCUUAUUUGACAGAUGUUCUGGUUGUUCUGCAUGAUCUUGAUCUGUUGCUUGCUUAUUUCAUCUGUUUUGCACAUUUCAAUGGCUUUUAGAAGAGUUAAAUUGGGCUCUCUUAAGAGGCGUUCCUGCAAAGCCUUGUCUUGUAUUCCAUACACAAUGCGAUCCCUAAUUAAACUAUCCUUUUGUGAUUCAAAUUCACAUGAUGUGGAUAAUCCUUUUAGUUCUGUUAUAAAACUAUCGAUGGAUUCACCAUCCUUCUGGGUCGCUGAAAAAAAUUUGAAUCUUUCAAAAAUGACGUUCUUUUUAGGCUCGCAAAAAUCAUCAAAUUUGUUUAUUACAAGAUCGAAAUUUUCUGCUUCAUCUUCUUUUAAAUGAAAUGUGUUGAAAACUUCCAAGGCUUCUUCGCCAAUAAAAUUUAAUAAAAUGGCAACUUUCAGUUUAUCAGGCUUUGUGGCUUUUUCUGUUGCUUCAAGAUAAAGCAUUAAUCGCUGUUUGAACCUUCGCCAAUUUUCCGCUACAUUACCGUGCAAGGCGAGUUCGCUAGGCCUAACAAAGUCCAUGCUUUAUUUUUUUCACUAAUAUUUUUCAAUAAUAUAUUUAUUUGAAAAAGUACUCACUUUUCCGCUGCCACCAUGUUGUUUAUGUUGUUCUUUGUGCCUAUUUGAUCACGCAGAAUGCAACUGAGCUAAGUAUUUAUUUAUUAACUUAUCUUUUUAUAACAUGGUUAUAUAUCUAAGAAUGUUUACCAGUCGAGUCUGCCGUGUUGCCGGAUCAAUCAUAACAAAAACGUACAUCGUUUGGUAUUUAAUUCAAGGCAAAUUUUCAACUUAAAAACAAAUCAGAUAUCAAAUAUAGUUUUAAAAGAAAUAAAUAUUAAAUAAAUUCAAAUAACAUUUAAUUGGCAAUCAAAAAAUAUAUAGAAAACUUACAAUUUAAAAAUUAUAACUUGAUAAUAUAUUCAAAUAUUUUUUCUUAUCAAAUAAAAAAUUCUAAUUCAAAAUUAUAAUUCUUAAUUUUAAUAAUUAAAAUAAUCUGAAUUUUAAUCUCUUAAGGAUAUAUAAUUUUUUCAAUACAAUAUAUUCUCAAAAUGGAUUCAAUUAAAGCACCCGAAUUUUGGCCAAACGAUCCAGAAUUGUGGUUCAUAACAUUGGAAUCACAAUUUUUAUUGAACAAGCCAAGUCCAAUUACAAAUAAUGACACCAAAUUUUCUUAUCUAAUUUCACUUUUACCUCCAUCAACUGCCAUAGAGGUACGUGAAUUCAUUAUGUCACCUCCACCAGACAAUAAAUACGACGCGCUAAAGAAGGUCAUAAUUAAAUGUACCGCUGACAGCGAAUUUAAAAAACUACAGCAAUUGUUGACUCAAGAAGAACUUGGAGACAGCCUGCCUAGCCAAUUAUUACGCCGCUUAAAACAAUUGGUUGGAGAAAGCAAAGUCGUCAAUGACAAAACAUUAAAAAUACUCUGGAUGCAACGUUUACCUAAAAACAUCCAAAUAAUUCUGACAACGCAAGAGCAAGCAUCAACAACAACAACAAAAAGCCUUU